UACGUAGGUGGCAAGCGUUGUUCGGAAUUAUUGGGCGUAAAGGGCGCGUAGGCGGCUUGUUAAGUCGGUUGUGAAAGCCCGGGGCUCAACCCCGGAAAGUCGACCGAUACUGGCAGGCUAGAGUACGGAAGAGGUAGCUGGAAUUCCUGGUGUAGCGGUGAAAUGCGUAGAUAUCAGGAGGAACACCUGUGGUGUAGACAGCUUACUGGACCAUUUCUGACGCUGAGACACGAAAGCGUGGGUAGCAAACAGG
RNAcentral lists this ribosomal RNA (253 nucleotides) under uncultured bacterium. Its description in RNAcentral is "partial 16S ribosomal RNA". It matches the Rfam family "Bacterial small subunit ribosomal RNA", at positions 524 to 776 of the family's 1533-position model. The record is from RNAcentral.